RNAcentral lists this long non-coding RNA (1190 nucleotides) under Pongo abelii (Sumatran orangutan). Its description in RNAcentral is "lincRNA". Lineage: Eukaryota; Metazoa; Chordata; Mammalia; Primates; Hominidae. The record is from RNAcentral.
GUGAAUCACAGGUCGGCGGGAGCCUUUUUUCCUUUUUUUUUUUUUUUUUUUCCGGGGAGUCGGCCUCGGGGCUCUGCUCUCCUACCUCAGUCUGCCCUACACUGGAAUGGGGAAAAUGCGGACAUGCUACUCAGUCCGGCCGCGAACAGUGCUCCAGAACUCAGAGAGUUUUCCAGACGGGUGGAGAUCGCGUUCCCUGCCCGCGGAGGUCCCAUCGCUUCCCUACUGGGAAGACAAAUGAGGCGCUUUAGCCGUCUCCACGGCCAGCCCCUCCCUCAUAACCCGAGAUUCCUUGUGGGCUCUUAGUCCAUAACUGCCUUUGAGGUGGUGUAGACCUUGCUAACCAGGACGGCCCAGUAGGCAGAGCUCAUUUUUAUUCCUGUCUGCAAUCGUGCAAAAACGCCUCUUAUGGAAGAGGCAGAGCGCCAGGAGUCAGCAAAACACACUAAAGAUUGGGCAGACACUGGGGAGAACACUCAGCCCGCCUGCACCCAGGUGAAAUAUACAGCCUUGUUGCUCACACAAAGCCUAUUUGGUGGUUUCUUCACACAGACGCAUGUGACAUUUGGUGCUGAAGACCCAGGACAGGAGGACUCCUUUGGGAGACCAGUCCCCUGUUAUCGCCCUCACUCCGUGAGGAGAUCCACCUAUGAUCUCAGGUCCUCAGACCAACCAGCCCAAGGAACAUCUCACCAAUUUCAAAUAGGGUUGUCAGAAUCUGCAGAGAAGCUUCCUCUAAUCUCCAGCCUGAGAGUUCAGACCUGGUUACCAGCAUUCUAGAAGCUGAAAGAGGAGAAGUUCUUGGAAGACUAAGAAGUCCAACAUUCAAAAGCAUCUUACUAUGUUGCCCAGGCUGUUUCAAACUCCUGGGCUUGCAUGGACACGGUGGCUCAUGCCUGUAACCCCAACACUUUGGGGAGGUUGAGGCGGGUGAAUCUGAGAUCAGGAGUUCGAGACCAGCCUGGCCAACAAGGCCUCCCCUUAUGUAUCACUUCUUCAGAAAUGACUUCCGUGACCACAUCUGAGGCACAGUGGCUCACACCUGUAAUCCCAGCACUUUGGGAGGCUGAGGCAGGAGAAUCGCUUGAACCCAGGCGGCACAGGUUGCAGUGAGCUGAGAUCGCACCACUGCACUCCAGCCUGGGCAGCAGAGCGAGACUCCAUUUCAAAAAUAAAAAAAAAAAAAAAAA